This 75-nucleotide transfer RNA is filed under the name Salix triandra. RNAcentral describes it as "tRNA-Leu". The record is from RNAcentral. Lineage: Eukaryota; Viridiplantae; Streptophyta; Magnoliopsida; Malpighiales; Salicaceae.
CGAAAUUGGUAGACGCUACGGACUUUUUAGAAAUCGUGAGGGUUCAAGUCCCUCUAUCCCCAAAAAGGGGCCCAC